Molecule: unclassified non-coding RNA, 253 nt
Filed under: uncultured Planctomycetales bacterium
Lineage: Bacteria; Pseudomonadati; Planctomycetota; Planctomycetia; Planctomycetales
Description: contains 16S-23S intergenic spacer region
Rfam family: Bacterial small subunit ribosomal RNA
Source: RNAcentral
GACGAACUGUGCGAACGUUAUUCGGAAUCACUGGGCUUACAGGGUGCGUAGGCGGCCUGUUAAGUAGGGUGUGAAAUCCCCCGGCCCAACCGGGGAACUGCGCUCUAAACUAACAGGCUUGAGUGAGCUAGGGGUGCACGGAACUUCCAGUAGAGCGGUGAAAUGUGUUGAUAUUGGAAGGAACACCGGAGCCGAAAGGGGUGCACUGGGGCUUAACUGACGCUGAGGCACGAAAGCCAGGGUAGCGAACGGG